Molecule: unclassified non-coding RNA, 332 nt
Filed under: soil metagenome
Description: partial contains 5.8S ribosomal RNA, internal transcribed spacer 2, and large subunit ribosomal RNA
Rfam family: 5.8S ribosomal RNA (bases 1-120)
Source: RNAcentral
GAUGAAGAACGUAGCAAAAUGCGAUAAGUAAUGUGAAUUGCAGAAUUCAGUGAAUCAUCGAAUCUUUGAACGCACAUUGCGCCCGCCAGUAUUCUGGCGGGCAUGCCUGUUCGAGCGUCAUUUCAACCCUCAAGCACAGCUUCGUGUUGGGACUCGCGUUAAUUCGCGUUCCUCAAAUUGAUUGGCGGUCACGUCGAGCUUCCAUAGCGUAGUAGUAAAACCCUCGUUACUGGUAAUCGUCGCGGCCACGCCGUUAAACCCCAACUUCUGAAUGUUGACCUCGGAUCAGGUAGGAAUACCCGCUGAACUUAAGCAUAUCAAUAAGCGGAGGA